GUCAAUAGCCUAACGGCUGAACCAGCAACUUGGAGGAAUGUAUAGCAAUAGCUAGUUGCAUCAUAGUUAACUAUGAUGCAAGAUUGACUAUUUUGAAUAAAAUUCUAGGUAUGAUUAUGAUAAUGACAUUGUCUGCCUAUAUGUCUUGACCAAAUUACGUGCCAGCAGUCGCGGUAACACGUAGAAGACCAGUGUUAUUCAUGUUUAAUCGGUUUAAAGGGUACCUAGACGGCAGAUCAAGCUUACCGAGCAUAAAAAAAAAUAAAAAGGACUAAUUUGCUAGAGUUACUUACGAUGGGGUUUUAAAGUACUGUUGGUGUAGAGAUGAAAUGCUAUCAUACCUAAAUUUGAAAUAAUUAUUAUGGCACGGGUAUAGGCGAAGGCAUCCCCUUAUGUGAUAACUGACGUUGAGGGACGAAGGCUUUCAACAGCGAACGGGAUUAGAUACCCCAUUAGUGGGAGCAGUAAAUGAUGAAUGUCAUAGAUUAGCUAGAUAGGUUCAUUCUAUAAAUGAAAGUGUAAGCAUUCCACCUCAUGAGUAAUAUGGCAACAUUGGAAUUGAAAUCAUUAGACCGUUUCUGAAACCAGUAGUGAAGUAUGUUGUUUAAUUAGAGAGUACGCAAAAAACCUUACCACAAUUUGAAUAUAUAUUUUUUUUUAUUGUAUCGCUAUUAAUUUUUUUCUCUAUAACAAAGAUGAUUUUAGUAAUAAAAGAGGAAAUAUAUUAAUAAAGAGGCAAUAAGAUAUAUUUACAAGCGCUGCACGGCUGUCUUCAGUUAAUGUCGCGAGAUUUUGGUUAGAUCCAUUAAAUUAACGUAAACCCUUACUUUAUUUUUAGAUAGAGUUGUUCCCCACUAUAUUGGAUACGAUAACA
Molecule: ribosomal RNA, 874 nt
Filed under: Hypotrachyna showmanii
Lineage: Eukaryota; Fungi; Ascomycota; Lecanoromycetes; Lecanorales; Parmeliaceae
Description: SSU rRNA
Rfam family: Bacterial small subunit ribosomal RNA
Source: RNAcentral